This 253-nucleotide ribosomal RNA is filed under the name uncultured bacterium. RNAcentral describes it as "partial 16S ribosomal RNA". It matches the Rfam family "Bacterial small subunit ribosomal RNA", at positions 524 to 776 of the family's 1533-position model. The record is from RNAcentral.
UACGUAGGGGGCUAGCGUUGUCCGGAAUCAUUGGGCGUAAAGAGCGCGCAGGCGGCUUGGCAAGUCGGGUGUGAAAUCCCGGGGCUCAACCCCGGGACUGCAUUCGAUACUGUCAGGCUAGAGGUAGGUAGGGGAGAUCGGAAUUCCUGGUGUAGCGGUGAAAUGCGCAGAUAUCAGGAGGAACACCGGUGGCGAAGGCGACUACCUGGCCUGUUCUUGACGCUGAGGCGCGAAAGCUAGGGGAGCAAACGGG